This 472-nucleotide ribosomal RNA is filed under the name uncultured bacterium. RNAcentral describes it as "partial 16S ribosomal RNA". It matches the Rfam family "Bacterial small subunit ribosomal RNA", at positions 28 to 507 of the family's 1533-position model. The record is from RNAcentral.
GAUGAACGCUGGCGGCGUGCCUAAUACAUGCAAGUCGAGCGAACAGAUGAGGAGCUUGCUCCUCUGACGUUAGCGGCGGACGGGUGAGUAACACGUGGAUAACCUACCUAUAAGACUGGGAUAACUUCGGGAAACCGGAGCUAAUACCGGAUAAUAUAUUGAACCGCAUGGUUCAAUAGUGAAAGACGGUUUUGCUGUCACUUAUAGAUGGAUCCGCGCCGCAUUAGCUAGUUGGUAAGGUAACGGCUUACCAAGGCAACGAUGCGUAGCCGACCUGAGAGGGUGAUCGGCCACACUGGAACUGAGACACAGUCCAGAAUCCUACGGGAGGCAGCAGUGGGGAAUCUUAGACAAUGGGGGCAGCCCUGAUCUAGCCAUGCCGGGUGAGUGAUGAAGGCCUUAGGGUUGUAAAGCUCUUUCAGCUGGGAAGAUAAUGACGGUACCAGCAGAAGAAGCCCCGGCUAACUACGUG